Non-coding RNA from Silurus meridionalis, 722 nucleotides. NCBI's taxonomy places the organism in Eukaryota, Metazoa, Chordata, Actinopteri, Siluriformes, Siluridae. The record is from the annotation of a RefSeq genome assembly.
UACAAGACUACAAGCCUCUUCAUAGGUGGCACAAAAACCUUCAUCAGUAUCAGGAUUUCAGAGACCAUAAUCCCUUCAGCUUCCAUCUCCAUCAUGCUGCUCUUUCUACUGUUACUACUGAUGCUUUUUCUAGGCAGCACAUCAAUGCAAAAGCGUCUUAUAGCAGAAAAGCAUGUUUCAGAAGGCGAUGAUGUCAUUCUGCCCUGCAAUUUAACUACUACUACAGGUGAUUAUGUACAGUGGUAUCGACAGUAUCCCAAAUCCAGACCAGUGUUCCUCAGCUCCACCUAUAUAUCUGCUGCUGAAAAACAACCUGGAAAUGCUGAUAAAAAACCUGAGGAUCUGAAGAUCUCCUCUGCUGCAGUAUCAGACUCUGCAGUGUACUACUGCGCCCUGAGGCCCACAGUGACAGGAAACUUAGCAACACUGUACAAAAACCUCAUUCCAGGCAAAGGAAGUGUUAAAGUGUGCUCUAAACUCAAACACUGCAUCUCUGUAUUGGCAAAAUAACACUUUAAUUUGUCAUCAAUACAUGUACAUUAAUUUAAAAAUUAAAUUGGCUGGAAAUUGAUGUGUAAAAGGUAGAACAAUAGUGUGUCUAUGCACCUUUGGUGUUUGGAACCCUAUUAUAGAUCAAGGACCCUGCUUUCAUCCCCCAAUGAUACAGACUUCUUUGGGUUAUGAAUACUAAAUAAUUUGCACAACUCUAAUAUAUAUCUGAC